Notothenia coriiceps (black rockcod) is the source of this 440-nucleotide long non-coding RNA. RefSeq lists it as uncharacterized. Lineage: Eukaryota; Metazoa; Chordata; Actinopteri; Perciformes; Nototheniidae. The record is from RefSeq and is a predicted model, not a curated record. The transcript has 3 exons.
UGGUCAAAGGUGUGCUGCUGCUGCUGUUGAGUCUGCAGGUUUUCCUGCUCGUCACAACCGUAACUUCUUCUGAUGCAGCCCCUGCGAGGACAGAGCCUCAACCUCUUGGUUUUCACCCUGUUGGAAGAUGCUAGGAGGAUGUGGAUUGGCAGGCAUCCCUGGACGUGAGACAACCCCUCCUCCUAGGCCGGAGGAGCCAACAUCUGAGGAAUGGAGUUUGGAGGCAUUAUCUAAACCUUUGCUUUAAAGAACAUGAAUUGUAUUGAUCAUGUACCUGCAUCACAUACACACUGCUCUGAUAUUAUUGGCUGUUAAAUCUAAAAGCACUGUUACUAAAAUUGCUGUUGAUUUAUGUUUAUGCUGCAUAGAGUCAACAGUGAGUAACAGAGAAUCAAUGCUGUUCUGAAUAAAGUGCUCACAUUGUUGUAUGUAUGUGUUUC